ACAAGUGUUUGUGUUUUUUAUGUAGUUACUACAAUUUGGAGUCGAAAUUCGAUGUGCAAAUAUGGUUUAAAUGUGUAAACAAGACGCCUGAUGUUUAAU
This is a long non-coding RNA of Alosa sapidissima (American shad), 99 nucleotides long. RefSeq lists it as uncharacterized. The transcript is spliced from 3 exons. Lineage: Eukaryota; Metazoa; Chordata; Actinopteri; Clupeiformes; Clupeidae. The record is from RefSeq and is a predicted model, not a curated record.